GUCAAGUGGAGAAGUGGUUGGUUGAAUUAGAGAGAGUUAUGAUUAACUCCAUCCACAAGGUAAUUGGAGAUGCAACUUUUGCCUAUACAAAAUAUGAACGAAUUAACUGGGUAAGGGAUUGGCCUGGACAGACCGUUCUCUGUGUGUCCCAAAUCUUUUGGACGAAAGAAGUACAAACAGCUAUUCCAAUGGGGAUAAAGGCUCUUGAGCAAUACUUGAAAACGUGUAACAGACAAAUUGAUGAUAUUGUCACUUUGGUGCGUGGCAAAUUGUCCAUGCAGAAUCGCGUAACUCUGGGAGCACUUGUGGUACUGGAUGUCCAUGCUAGAGAUGUCCUCUCAUCACUUGUAAAAAAAAAUAUUAGCGAUGACUCUGACUUUGAAUGGUUAAGUCAGCUUAGGUACUAUUGGCAAGAAAAUCAUUUAGAAACAAAAAUGAUCAAUGCUGGUUUGCGAUAUGGAUAUGAAUAUCUGGGUAAUUCCCCUAGGCUGGUUAUUACGCCACUCACGGAUAGAUGUUACAGAACCUUAUUUGGAGCCCUUCAUUUGCACCUCGGAGGAGCACCUGAGGGUCCAGCUGGCACUGGGAAGACUGAAACUACCAAGGAUUUGGCAAAAGCUGUAGCCAAACAAUGUGUUGUUUUCAACUGCUCUGAUGGGUUGGAUUAUUUGGCUUUGG
RNAcentral lists this long non-coding RNA (678 nucleotides) under Pan troglodytes (chimpanzee). RNAcentral describes it as "long non-coding RNA NONPTRT011126". The record is from RNAcentral. Lineage: Eukaryota; Metazoa; Chordata; Mammalia; Primates; Hominidae.